This 253-nucleotide ribosomal RNA is filed under the name uncultured bacterium. Its description in RNAcentral is "partial 16S ribosomal RNA". It matches the Rfam family "Bacterial small subunit ribosomal RNA", at positions 524 to 776 of the family's 1533-position model. The record is from RNAcentral.
UACGAAGGGUGCAAACGUUGCUCGGAAUCAUUGGGCGUAAAGCGCACGUAAGCGGCUUCGCAAGUCGGAUGUGAAAUCCCUCGGCUCAACCGAGGACGUGCAUCCGAAACUGCGGAGCUUGAGUACUGAAGAGGAUCGCGGAAUUCCCGGUGUAGAGGUGAAAUUCGUAGAUAUCGGGAGGAACACCAGUGGCGAAGGCGGCGAUCUGGGCAGAUACUGACGCUGAGGUGCGAAAGCGUGGGGAGCAAACAGG